This 306-nucleotide ribosomal RNA is filed under the name uncultured bacterium. Its description in RNAcentral is "partial 16S ribosomal RNA". It matches the Rfam family "Bacterial small subunit ribosomal RNA", at positions 507 to 807 of the family's 1533-position model. The record is from RNAcentral.
GACAGCAGUCGCCACGGGAAUACGUAGGGUGCAAGCGUUAUCCGGAAUUAUUGGGCGUAAAGAGCUCGUAGGCGGUUUGUCGCGUCUGCUGUGAAAACUGGAGGCUCAACCUCCAGCCUGCAGUGGGUACGGGCAGACUAGAGUGCGGUAGGGGAGAUUGGAAUUCCUGGUGUAGCGGUGGAAUGCGCAGAUAUCAGGAGGAACACCGAUGGCGAAGGCAGAUCUCUGGGCCGUAACUGACGCUGAGGAGCGAAAGCGUGGGGAGCGAACAGGAUUAGAUACCCGCGUAGUCCCUGUCUCUUAUAC